GAGAUAAAAGUGGUGAGCGCAGUGUUCUUUUCUGGACCAUCAGGGUAUGUUCUUCUCCUGAACGGGGUUUUUCCCAUGAGACUCAUGAAUUCCCGGGAAUCUGCUGAAAGCUCUAAACCUUUUCUCUGGAAAACUGGGGGCGUCAGUGCACGACCAAGCACGGGCAAGUCACAAGGGCACGCCCACACCGCUUGCGCGUGCGCAUACACCUGACUCGACUUACUCGCAGGCGUCCCUGGAACUCAGAAGCCAGAAUUUCAAGAGCCUACACAACUCACUCCUCAGAGGGACCUCACCCUCCCCAGAGUGAUUUGUUACCAUGUAUUGAGAGAAGACUGGAUGAUGCCACAUUGCCAUGUGAUCCAAUAAGAAUUCAAUAGUCCCCAGAUUUCUGACAGCCAGAACCAUCUCCUCUCUGCCUGGAGGCUCUCUCACAAAGCUGCAGCCUGCUCUGCCCUCUUUUGGGGAAGGUCUGAAAUUGCAGAGACUCCAUGCCCCUUUGCCCAGACCCAGCAGCCCUCCACUGGUCAUAAAACUCUUGUAUGAGAGGUUCCCACCCUAUACCUAGAGGAAAGGAGUAUCCUUAUCUCUGAAGACAAAGGAAGCCAAGAACCAGGCCUUGGUAAGUUUUCCCCAGUUUACUAUGCUUGCUUCAUACUCCUUAACCCAUCCUGCUCCUCCAGGACUAUACACUUGUCACCAUACCUAACAUAAAAAUACUCAGUGUUCUCCUCUAAAAAUAAAUCACAAAAACCAUGAAUUGCCUGUGCCCAGAAGAGUCGCAUGGCAUAUACACAUGAAGAUGGAAUUUUGGUUUUCAAUUUUAAGAUGUUUUUACUUAAAGGAAUGCCAUCUCGACAUGAAAUGUAAUUAAGGAAAUCUCCACUAAAAUAAUGUAAUGGAGUGUUAACAUUUAUUAACCCACGAGGAGAGAGGAGACAUGAGCAGAGGAAAUAUUUUAACAUCUUCACAGAAGAAAAAAACAUGAACAAAAACCUGGAAGCAACUUGGAAAAAGAGAGAAACAUGCGGUUGUUAACAGGGAAUUGGCUGAAAGUGUGUAUACAGAUGAUUAAACCUUGGCAGGACUCUUUCCUGUUGAAAUCAGCCGUUCCUUGCAAAAGAGAUUUACUCUUUGCAGAAAUUUGAUAGUAUUUAGAGAAUACAAGCCCAAAAGGACAAGGUGAGGCACAGGCUAAAGGAAGAGGCUUAAGUAGAUAGGUGGCUGCCUCUGGGACCCAUGGUCAUCUUCCCCAAAAUGUCACAUGGACUACUUCCACCAGUUCUGGCAGGAUUGAAGGACUUCUUUCUAGAGAAGAUAAAUGGCUCUAGAAGAAAGAGGUCCUCACAGUGACAUUUAGGAUCCACAAUUAAAAUGGCUAUUCACUGCCUUCACUGUUCAUCCUGUAAUAAGCUUAUCCGGCAACAAGUGUGAUAAUAGGAAAGAACACACCCUAUCCUAGCAGCCUCUGUUCAGCUUCAGCUAAUUGUUAGAGAUCAGUGAUGUCAGUUCAUCUUGAAGGUCAAGAGAAUUAGGAAAACUGGAUUUUUAUGUCAGUAUUUUCAAAUUUUAAGACACUUAGCACAUGAAAUAAAAUAUGAAUGACUCUAAGUAAAGGAUGUUUAGAACCUGUCAGCUACAGAAAAGGAUGCACUAGCUUUCUGCCAGAAUCAUAUGCUGAAGAGGAAAGUUAACACCUUGACAGAGGCAUCGAAUUCAAUCUCCAUCUGCCAGCAAAGUGCUUGCAUCCUAGUGUGAAAUAAAGUGAAGUCGCUCAGUUGUGUCCGACUC
Molecule: non-coding RNA, 1791 nt
Organism: Odocoileus virginianus texanus
Lineage: Eukaryota; Metazoa; Chordata; Mammalia; Artiodactyla; Cervidae
Source: RefSeq, a predicted model, not a curated record